AUGUAGAAAGCGAGAAAUUUGCAUACGGUUUCGGCCCGUAACUUAGAGGUGAAAGUCCUUUUCUAUAUAC
RNAcentral lists this transfer RNA (70 nucleotides) under Mammilla kurodai. RNAcentral describes it as "tRNA-Arg". Lineage: Eukaryota; Metazoa; Mollusca; Gastropoda; Littorinimorpha; Naticidae. The record is from RNAcentral.